CAGAUGUAGUUCAAUGGUAGAACUUCAGCCUUCCAAGCUGACUACGUGGGUUCGAUUCCCAUCAUCUG
This 68-nucleotide transfer RNA is filed under the name pig gut metagenome. It matches the Rfam family "tRNA". From Rfam's summary of the family: Transfer RNA (tRNA) molecules are approximately 80 nucleotides in length. The record is from RNAcentral.